UACGUAGGGUGCGAGCGUUGUCCGGAAUUAUUGGGCGUAAAGAGCUUGUAGGCGGUUUGUCGCGUCUGCUGUGAAAUCUCAAGGCUCAACCUUGAGCUUGCAGUGGGUACGGGCAGACUAGAGUGUGGUAGGGGAGACUGGAAUUCCUGGUGUAGCGGUGAAAUGCGCAGAUAUCAGGAGGAACACCGAUGGCGAAGGCAGCCCCCUGGGCUGAGAUUGACGCUCAGGCACGAAAGCGUGGGGAGCGAACAGG
RNAcentral lists this ribosomal RNA (253 nucleotides) under uncultured bacterium. RNAcentral describes it as "partial 16S ribosomal RNA". It matches the Rfam family "Bacterial small subunit ribosomal RNA", at positions 524 to 776 of the family's 1533-position model. The record is from RNAcentral.